UACGUAGGUCCCGAGCGUUAUCCGGAUUUAUUGGGCGUAAAGCGAGCGCAGGCGGCUAGUUAAGUUUAAGGUGAAAGGGUGUGGCUUAACCCCAGUAUGCUUUGGAUACUGUUUAACUUGAGUGCAGGAGAGGAGAGUGGAAUUCCAUGUGUAGCGGUGAAAUGCGUAGAUAUAUGGAGGAACACCGGUGGCGAAAGCGGCUCCCUGGACUGUGACUGACGCUGAUGCUCGAAAGCGUGGGGAGCAAACAGG
Molecule: ribosomal RNA, 252 nt
Filed under: uncultured bacterium
Lineage: Bacteria
Description: partial 16S ribosomal RNA
Rfam family: Bacterial small subunit ribosomal RNA
Source: RNAcentral